GCCAGUAGCCAUAUCACUCUGUAGCCCAAGACUGGUUGCCCACUGAAGCUAAUCAGGGCUGAGCCUGGUCAGUACCUGGAUGGGAGAACUCCUGGGAAAACUAGGUUGCUGUUGGAA
This 117-nucleotide ribosomal RNA is filed under the name Sinocyclocheilus grahami. Lineage: Eukaryota; Metazoa; Chordata; Actinopteri; Cypriniformes; Cyprinidae. The record is from RNAcentral.